This 497-nucleotide ribosomal RNA is filed under the name uncultured bacterium. RNAcentral describes it as "partial 16S ribosomal RNA". It matches the Rfam family "Bacterial small subunit ribosomal RNA", at positions 28 to 507 of the family's 1533-position model. The record is from RNAcentral.
GAUGAACGCUGGCGGCGUGCUUAAUACAUGCAAGUCGAGCGAAAAGAUGAGGCGCUUGCUCCUCUGACGUUUGCCGAGGACGGGUGAGAAACACGUGGAUCACCUACCUAUAAGUCUGGGAUCAUUUCGAGACACCGGAGAUAAUACCGGAUAAUCUCUUGAACCGCAUGGUUCAAUAGUGAAAGACGGUUUUGCUGUAUCUUCUCGCUGGAUCUGCGCCGCAUUAGCUAGUUGGUAAGGUCAAGGCUUACCAAGGCAACGAUGCGUAGCCGAGCUGAGAGGGGGGUAGGCCACACGAGAACGGGGACACGGACCAUGCUCCUACGGGAGGCAGCAGAAUGGAAUCGUCCGCAGUGGUCGAAAGCCUGACGGAGCAACGCCGCGUGAGAUAUGAAGGUCUUCGGUUCGUAAAACUCUGUUAUGAGUUAUGAACAAAUGUGUAAGUAACUAUGCACUUCGUGACGGUACCUAAUCAGAAAGCCACGGCUAACUACGUG